UGGGGAAUAUUGCACAAUGGGCGCAAGCCUGAUGCAGCCAUGCCGCGUGUAUGAAGAAGGCCUUCGGGUUGUAAAGUACUUUCAGCGGGGAGGAAGGGAGUAAAGUUAAUACCUUUGCUCAUUGACGUUACCCGCAGAAGAAGCACCGGCUAACUCCGUGCCAGCAGCCGCGGUAAUACGGAGGGUGCAAGCGUUAAUCGGAAUUAUUGGGCGUAAAGGGUACGCAGGCGGUUUAAUAAGUCGAAUGUUAAAGAUCGGGGCUCAACCCCGCAAAGCAUUGGAAACUGAUAAACUUGAGUAGUGGAGAGGAAAGUGGAAUUCCUAGUGUAGUGGUGAAAUACGUAGAUAUUAGGAGGAAUACCAGUAGCGAAGGCGACUUUCUGGACACAAACUGACGCUGAGGUACGAAAGCGUGGGGAGCAAACAGG
This 428-nucleotide ribosomal RNA is filed under the name Chloroflexota bacterium. RNAcentral's name for it is "Chloroflexi bacterium partial 16S ribosomal RNA". It matches the Rfam family "Bacterial small subunit ribosomal RNA", at positions 355 to 776 of the family's 1533-position model. Lineage: Bacteria; Bacillati; Chloroflexota. The record is from RNAcentral.